This 2902-nucleotide ribosomal RNA is filed under the name Klebsiella pneumoniae. RNAcentral describes it as "23S ribosomal RNA". It matches the Rfam family "Bacterial large subunit ribosomal RNA". Lineage: Bacteria; Pseudomonadati; Pseudomonadota; Gammaproteobacteria; Enterobacterales; Enterobacteriaceae. The record is from RNAcentral.
GGUUAAGCGACUAAGCGUACACGGUGGAUGCCCUGGCAGUCAGAGGCGAUGAAGGACGUGCUAAUCUGCGAAAAGCGUCGGUAAGGUGAUAUGAACCGUUAUAACCGGCGAUGUCCGAAUGGGGAAACCCAGUGCAAUUCGUUGCACUAUCGUUAACUGAAUACAUAGGUUAACGAGGCGAACCGGGGGAACUGAAACAUCUAAGUACCCCGAGGAAAAGAAAUCAACCGAGAUUCCCCCAGUAGCGGCGAGCGAACGGGGAGCAGCCCAGAGUCUGAAUCAGCUUGUGUGUUAGUGGAACGGUCUGGAAAGUCCGACGGUACAGGGUGAUAGUCCCGUACACCAAAAUGCACAGGCUGUGAACUCGAAGAGUAGGGCGGGACACGUGGUAUCCUGUCUGAAUAUGGGGGGACCAUCCUCCAAGGCUAAAUACUCCUGACUGACCGAUAGUGAACCAGUACCGUGAGGGAAAGGCGAAAAGAACCCCGGCGAGGGGAGUGAAAAAGAACCUGAAACCGUGUACGUACAAGCAGUGGGAGCACCUUCGGGUGUGACUGCGUACCUUUUGUAUAAUGGGUCAGCGACUUAUAUUCUGUAGCAAGGUUAACCGUAUAGGGGAGCCGCAGGGAAACCGAGUCUUAACUGGGCGUUAAGUUGCAGGGUAUAGACCCGAAACCCGGUGAUCUAGCCAUGGGCAGGUUGAAGGUUGGGUAACACUAACUGGAGGACCGAACCGACUAAUGUUGAAAAAUUAGCGGAUGACUUGUGGCUGGGGGUGAAAGGCCAAUCAAACCGGGAGAUAGCUGGUUCUCCCCGAAAGCUAUUUAGGUAGCGCCUCGUGAACUCAUCUUCGGGGGUAGAGCACUGUUUCGGCUAGGGGGUCAUCCCGACUUACCAACCCGAUGCAAACUACGAAUACCGAAGAAUGUUAUCACGGGAGACACACGGCGGGUGCUAACGUCCGUCGUGAAGAGGGAAACAACCCAGACCGCCAGCUAAGGUCCCAAAGUCAUGGUUAAGUGGGAAACGAUGUGGGAAGGCACAGACAGCCAGGAUGUUGGCUUAGAAGCAGCCAUCAUUUAAAGAAAGCGUAAUAGCUCACUGGUCGAGUCGGCCUGCGCGGAAGAUGUAACGGGGCUAAACCAUGCACCGAAGCUGCGGCAGCGACACUAUGUGUUGUUGGGUAGGGGAGCGUUCUGUAAGCCUGCGAAGGUGACCUGUGAGGGUUGCUGGAGGUAUCAGAAGUGCGAAUGCUGACAUAAGUAACGAUAAAGCGGGUGAAAAGCCCGCUCGCCGGAAGACCAAGGGUUCCUGUCCAACGUUAAUCGGGGCAGGGUGAGUCGACCCCUAAGGCGAGGCCGAAAGGCGUAGUCGAUGGGAAACAGGUUAAUAUUCCUGUACUUGGUGUUACUGCGAAGGGGGGACGGAGAAGGCUAUGUUAGCCGGGCGACGGUUGUCCCGGUUUAAGCAUGUAGGCUGGUUGUCCAGGCAAAUCCGGAUAAUCAAGGCUGAGGUGUGAUGACGAGGCACUACGGUGCUGAAGUAACAAAUGCCCUGCUUCCAGGAAAAGCCUCUAAGCAUCAGGUAACAUUAAAUCGUACCCCAAACCGACACAGGUGGUCAGGUAGAGAAUACCAAGGCGCUUGAGAGAACUCGGGUGAAGGAACUAGGCAAAAUGGUGCCGUAACUUCGGGAGAAGGCACGCUGGUGUGUAGGUGAAGUCCCUGCGGAUGGAGCUGAGACCAGUCGAAGAUACCAGCUGGCUGCAACUGUUUAUUAAAAACACAGCACUGUGCAAACACGAAAGUGGACGUAUACGGUGUGACGCCUGCCCGGUGCCGGAAGGUUAAUUGAUGGGGUUAUCCGUAAGGAGAAGCUCUUGAUCGAAGCCCCGGUAAACGGCGGCCGUAACUAUAACGGUCCUAAGGUAGCGAAAUUCCUUGUCGGGUAAGUUCCGACCUGCACGAAUGGCGUAAUGAUGGCCAGGCUGUCUCCACCCGAGACUCAGUGAAAUUGAACUCGCUGUGAAGAUGCAGUGUACCCGCGGCAAGACGGAAAGACCCCGUGAACCUUUACUAUAGCUUGACACUGAACAUUGAGCCUUGAUGUGUAGGAUAGGUGGGAGGCUUUGAAGCGUGGACGCCAGUCUGCGUGGAGCCAACCUUGAAAUACCACCCUUUAAUGUUUGAUGUUCUAACGUUGGCCCCUUAUCGGGGUUGCGGACAGUGUCUGGUGGGUAGUUUGACUGGGGCGGUCUCCUCCCAAAGCGUAACGGAGGAGCACGAAGGUUAGCUAAUCCUGGUCGGACAUCAGGAGGUUAGUGCAAUGGCAUAAGCUAGCUUGACUGCGAGCGUGACGGCGCGAGCAGGUGCGAAAGCAGGUCAUAGUGAUCCGGUGGUUCUGAAUGGAAGGGCCAUCGCUCAACGGAUAAAAGGUACUCCGGGGAUAACAGGCUGAUACCGCCCAAGAGUUCAUAUCGACGGCGGUGUUUGGCACCUCGAUGUCGGCUCAUCACAUCCUGGGGCUGAAGUAGGUCCCAAGGGUAUGGCUGUUCGCCAUUUAAAGUGGUACGCGAGCUGGGUUUAGAACGUCGUGAGACAGUUCGGUCCCUAUCUGCCGUGGGCGCUGGAGAAUUGAGGGGGGCUGCUCCUAGUACGAGAGGACCGGAGUGGACGCAUCACUGGUGUUCGGGUUGUCAUGCCAAUGGCACUGCCCGGUAGCUAAAUGCGGAAGAGAUAAGUGCUGAAAGCAUCUAAGCACGAAACUUGCCCCGAGAUGAGUUCUCCCUGAGACUUUAAGUCUCCUGAAGGAACGUUAAAGACGAUGACGUUGAUAGGCCGGGUGUGUAAGCGCAGCGAUGCGUUGAGCUAACCGGUACUAAUGAACCGUGAGGCUUAACCUU